AUUUUUCUAGUAUUAAUUAGUACAAGUGACUUCCAAUCACUAAGUUUUGGUCUAAUCCAAAGAAAAGUA
Molecule: transfer RNA, 69 nt
Filed under: Tachyglossus aculeatus (Australian echidna)
Lineage: Eukaryota; Metazoa; Chordata; Mammalia; Monotremata; Tachyglossidae
Description: transfer RNA-Gly
Rfam family: tRNA
About the family: Transfer RNA (tRNA) molecules are approximately 80 nucleotides in length.
Source: RNAcentral